This 253-nucleotide ribosomal RNA is filed under the name uncultured bacterium. RNAcentral's name for it is "partial 16S ribosomal RNA". It matches the Rfam family "Bacterial small subunit ribosomal RNA", at positions 524 to 776 of the family's 1533-position model. The record is from RNAcentral.
UACGUAGGGGGCAAGCGUUGUCCGGAGUCAUUGGGCGUAAAGAGCGUGUCGGCGGCCAGGUAGGUCGGUUGUGAAAACUGGAGGCUCAACCUUCAGACGUCGACCGAAACCCCCUGGCUAGAGUCCGGGAGAGGAGAGUGGAAUUCCUGGUGUAGCGGUGGAAUGCGCAGAUAUCAGGAAGAACACCCGUGGCGAAAGCGGCUCUCUGGAACGGUACUGACGCUGAGACGCGAAAGCGUGGGGAGCGAACAGG